GUAAGGGCAACCUGGCAGUGCCAAAUGUCACCCUGUUGAUCAUCGGGGUUGAUUCGGCUGAUCUGGCUGGCUGGGUGCGUGUGCCCUUCCUCCCUCACAGGGUAUACAGGUAGCUGCACUCCCCUGCUAGAACCUCCAAACAAGCGCUCUGGGGACUCACAUGCAUGUGAGCGAAGCUUCAGGCCUCUAGGCACAUGCCUUAUUUUCCCACUUGACUGCUUACAAAA
RNAcentral lists this small nuclear RNA (227 nucleotides) under Oryctolagus cuniculus (rabbit). Its description in RNAcentral is "7SK RNA". It matches the Rfam family "7SK RNA". From Rfam's summary of the family: 7SK was discovered as an abundant small nuclear RNA in the mid-70s but a possible function has only recently been suggested. Two independent studies have found that 7SK RNA binds the CDK9/cyclin T complex (known as elongation factor P-TEFb). P-TEFb activates transcription by phosphorylating the C-terminal domain of RNA polymerase II. Lineage: Eukaryota; Metazoa; Chordata; Mammalia; Lagomorpha; Leporidae. The record is from Rfam by way of RNAcentral.